AGUGAACGCUGGCGGUAGGCCUAACACAUGCAAGUCGAACGGCAGCACAGUAAGAGCUUGCUCUUACGGGUGGCGAGUGGCGGACGGGUGAGGAAUACAUCGGAAUCUACUUUUUCGUGGGGGAUAACGUAGGGAAACUUACGCUAAUACCGCAUACGACCUACGGGUGAAGGCAGGGGAUCUUCGGACCUUGCGCGAUUGAAUGAGCCGAUGUCGGAUUAGCUAGUUGGCGGGGUAAAGGCCCACCAAGGCGACGAUCCGUAGCUGGUCUGAGAGGAUGAUCAGCCACACUGGAACUGAGACACCGUCCAGAGUCCUAAGGGAGGGAGCAGUGGGGAAUAUUGGACAAUGGGCGCAAGCCUGAUCCAGCCAUACCGAGUGGGUGAAGAAGGCCUUCGGGUUGUAAAGCCGUUUUGUUGGGAAAGAAAAGCAGCAGGUUAAUACCCCGCUGUUCUGACGGUAACCAAAGAAUAAGCACCGGCUAACUUCGUG
RNAcentral lists this ribosomal RNA (492 nucleotides) under uncultured bacterium. Its description in RNAcentral is "partial 16S ribosomal RNA". It matches the Rfam family "Bacterial small subunit ribosomal RNA", at positions 29 to 507 of the family's 1533-position model. The record is from RNAcentral.